UGGGGUGCGGUGGAGUUAAGGCGUUGGGGCCGGACGUGCGGCACCAGGAAGAAGAAGGAGGAGGAGAGAGAAGAAGGAAGGAGGAAGAAGAAAGAAGAAGGAGGAAGAAAGGAAGAAGGAAAAGAAAAAGAAAAGGGGAGGGAAAAAGUGAAAGAAAAAGAGAGGGACCGGCGGCGAUUGCGGCACGCGGUCGAAGCACGCGCGCGGCGUCUGGCGACGGCACGCAGCGAAAAAAAUACGAGCGCGGAUAAAAAAGGUAGGGGUCGGCAUGGGUGCCGGGACGGCGAAAUCGCCGGGGGGGAUUCUCGAUUUCCGGGAGCUCAGCGGUAAAAAGAUUUGCAAAUCGAUUUUUUAACGGAUGGUUUUAGUUGGUGAUUUCUGCGGAUGUUACAAA
Molecule: long non-coding RNA, 394 nt
Filed under: Setaria viridis
Lineage: Eukaryota; Viridiplantae; Streptophyta; Magnoliopsida; Poales; Poaceae
Description: long non-coding RNA (SVIR_LNC008150)
Source: RNAcentral